GACGAACGCUGGCGGCGUGCUUAACACAUGCAAGUCGAACGGAAAGGCCCUGCUUUUGUGGGGUGCUCGAGUGGCGAACGGGUGAGUAACACGUGAGUAACCUGCCCUUGACUUUGGGAUAACUUCAGGAAACUGGGGCUAAUACCGGAUAGGAGCUCCUGCUGCAUGGUGGGGGUUGGAAAGUUUCGGCGGUUGGGGAUGGACUCGCGGCUUAUCAGCUUGUUGGUGGGGUAGUGGCUUACCAAGGCUUUGACGGGUAGCCGGCCUGAGAGGGUGACCGGCCACAUUGGGACUGAGAUACGGCCCAGACUCCUACGGGAGGCAGCAGUGGGGAAUAUUGCACAAUGGGCGGAAGCCUGAUGCAGCAACGCCGCGUGCGGGAUGACGGCCUUCGGGUUGUAAACCGCUUUCGCCUGUGACGAAGCGUGAGUGACGGUAAUGGGUAAAGAAGCACCGGCUAACUACGUGCCAGCAGCCGCGGUGAUACGUAGGGUGCGAGCGUUGUCCGGAUUUAUUGGGCGUAAAGGGCUCGUAGGUGGUUGAUCGCGUCGGAAGUGUAAUCUUGGGGCUUAACCCUGAGCGUGCUUUCGAUACGGGUUGACUUGAGGAAGGUAGGGGAGAAUGGAAUUCCUGGUGGAGCGGUGGAAUGCGCAGAUAUCAGGAGGAACACCAGUGGCGAAGGCGGUUCUCUGGGCCUUUCCUGACGCUGAGGAGCGAAAGCGUGGGGAGCGAACAGGCUUAGAUACCCUGGUAGUCCACGCUGUAAACGGUGGGUACUAGGUGUGGGGUCCAUUCCACGGGUUCCGUGCCGUAGCUAACGCUUUAAGUACCCCGCCUGGGGAGUACGGCCGCAAGGCUAAAACUCAAAGGAAUUGGCGGGGCCCCGCACAAGCGGCGGAGCAUGCGGAUUAAUUCGAUGCAACGCGUAGAACCUUACCUGGGUUUGACAUGGAUCGGGAGUGCUCAGAGAUGGGUGUGCCUCUUUUGGGGUCGGUUCACAGGUGGUGCAUGCCUGUCGUCAGCUCGUGUCGUGAGAUGUUGGGUUAAGUCCCGCAACGAGCGCAACCCUUGUUCACUGUUGCCAGCACGUUAUGGUGGGGACUCAGUGGAGACCGCCGGGGUCAACUCGGAGGAAGGUGGGGAUGACGUCAAGUCAUCAUGCCCCUUAUGUCCAGGGCUUCACGCAUGCUACAAUGGCUGGUACAGAGAGUGGCGAGCCUGUGAGGGUGAGCGAAUCUCGGAAAGCCGGUCUCAGUUCGGAUUGGGGUCUGCAACUCGACCUCAUGAAGUCGGAGUCGCUAGUAAUCGCAGAUCAGCAACGCUGCGGUGAAUACGUUCCCGGG
Molecule: ribosomal RNA, 1343 nt
Filed under: uncultured bacterium
Lineage: Bacteria
Description: 16S ribosomal RNA
Rfam family: Bacterial small subunit ribosomal RNA
Source: RNAcentral